UACAGGGGGUGCAAACGUUGCUCGGAAUCAUUGGGCGUAAAGCGCACGUAGGCGGUUCGUUAUGUCGGAUGUGAAAGCCCUUGGCUUAACCGAGGAAGUGCAUCCGAAACUGGCGAGCUAGAGUACUAAAGAGGAUCGCGGAAUUCCCGGUGUAGAGGUGAAAUUCGUAGAUAUCGGGAGGAACACCGGUGGCGAAGGCGGCGAUCUGGGCCGAUAUUGACGCUGAGGAGCGAAAGCGUGGGGAGCGAACAGG
This 253-nucleotide ribosomal RNA is filed under the name uncultured bacterium. Its description in RNAcentral is "partial 16S ribosomal RNA". It matches the Rfam family "Bacterial small subunit ribosomal RNA", at positions 524 to 776 of the family's 1533-position model. The record is from RNAcentral.